AACUCAUUACAAGCCGAGAAGUGAAAAACAAUGUUAUCACCCUAUUCAAAGGGUUGAAAGAGUCUUGUUUGGAGUGUGUGAGGUUGAUUAAUUAUGUUUGUAAUAUUUCAGAAGUUGACCGAAAAAGAAAAAAAAUAGAAAAGAAAAAAAAGGAAUGAAAAAAUAGAAGGAUAAGAGGAAGAAAAAAUAGAAGGAUAAGAGGAAGGAAAAAAAGGCAUUAUGUUUGUAAUAUUUCAAUACAUGUCAAUACAUACUCCUUCAAAAAAAAGAAUAAAAAGAGGAAAGAGAAGAGAAAAUAAUUGCUAUAGAGUUGUUCAAGUGAAUGAAAUAUUUUGUAAAUUCAACUCCCGCAGUUUCUUUCCAGUCUCUUUUAUCUCUUUGAAUUUUAGCCUAAUACCCCUUAGGAUUUAUCCCACCCUUACCUUGGCCACCUUACAACCAAAUAAAGGUUCUUUUGAUCUUUGUGUACAUGUAUUUUAAUUAUGGAUGUUAGAGUCCUUUCA
This 503-nucleotide long non-coding RNA is filed under the name Lathyrus oleraceus (garden pea). Its description in RNAcentral is "Pisum sativum (pea) long non-coding RNA (PSAT_LNC018630)". The record is from RNAcentral. Lineage: Eukaryota; Viridiplantae; Streptophyta; Magnoliopsida; Fabales; Fabaceae.